GACGAACGCUGGCGGCGUGCUUAACACAUGCAAGUCGAACGGUGAAGCUCCAGCUUGCUGGAGUGGAUCAGUGGCGAACGGGUGAGUAACACGUGAGCAACCUGCCCCUGACUCUGGAAUAAGCGCUGGAAACGGCGUCUAAUACUGGAUACGAGAAGGGUCCGCAUGGGCACUUUCUGGAAAGUUUUUCGGUUGGGGAUGGGCUCGCGGCCUAUCAGCUUGUUGGUGAGGUAAUGGCUCACCAAGGCGACGACGGGUAGCCGGCCUGAGAGGGCGACCGGCCACACUGGGACUGAGACACGGCCCAGACUCCUACGAGAGGCAGCAGUGGGGAAUAUUGCACAAUGGGCGAAAGCCUGAUGCAGCGACGCCGCGUGAGGGAUGACGGCCUUCGGGUUGUAAACCUCUUUCAGCAGGGAAGAAGCGAAAGUGACGGUACCUGCAGAAGAAGCACCGGCUAACUACGUG
Molecule: ribosomal RNA, 468 nt
Filed under: uncultured bacterium
Lineage: Bacteria
Description: partial 16S ribosomal RNA
Rfam family: Bacterial small subunit ribosomal RNA
Source: RNAcentral